CGUUCCCGGGCCUUGUACACACCGCCCGUCAAGCCAUGGAAGUUGGAGUACCUGAAGUCGAUCACCGGCAAGGAGUCGCCUAGGGUAAAUCAAUGACUGGGGCU
RNAcentral lists this ribosomal RNA (104 nucleotides) under uncultured bacterium. Its description in RNAcentral is "partial 16S ribosomal RNA". It matches the Rfam family "Bacterial small subunit ribosomal RNA", at positions 1369 to 1482 of the family's 1533-position model. The record is from RNAcentral.